Molecule: small RNA, 467 nt
Filed under: Pongo abelii (Sumatran orangutan)
Lineage: Eukaryota; Metazoa; Chordata; Mammalia; Primates; Hominidae
Description: processed transcript
Source: RNAcentral
GGACCGCGCGCACAGCCCGCACCGCCCCACGCCGCGGGCUAGGGACACCCGGCCCGCCACCAUGACUUCCAGCAAGAUAGAGAUGCCCGGAGAGGUGAAGGCCGACCCCGCCGCCCUCAUGGCGUCCUUGCACCUCCUGCCGUCGCCCACGCCCAACCUCGAAAUCAAGUACACCAAGAUCUUUAUAAACAACGAGUGGCAGAACUCAGAGAGUGGGAGAGUGUUCCCUGUCUAUAAUCCAGCCACAGGAGAACAGGUGUGUGAAGUUGAAGAAGCAGACAAGGCAGAUAUAGACAAAGCAGUGCAGGCAGCCCGCCUGGCUUUCUCUCUUGGUUCAGUGUGGAGAAGGAUGGAUGCUUCAGAAAGAGGACGUCUGUUGGAUAAGCUUGCAGACUUGGUGGAACGGGACAGGGCAGUUCUUGCAGUCUCUUAUCCUACCACACCUAAAACACUCUCAAGCUGUGAGA